This 261-nucleotide small RNA is filed under the name Caenorhabditis elegans. Its description in RNAcentral is "Unclassified non-coding RNA Y22D7AR.20". Lineage: Eukaryota; Metazoa; Nematoda; Chromadorea; Rhabditida; Rhabditidae. The record is from RNAcentral.
GUCGGCGGUCACACCCCGUUCACUUCCCUGCCAAAUGGACACUUGCUUAAACCUUGUGAGGAGCGGGAAAUCCUGUUCUACCAGAAAAUGCCAAAAAUCUUGAAAUCAAUUGCUCCGCUGUGCUGUAGCACAAUUCAAGGCAGCUCUGUGAGCACACUAGACGAUAGCUGCUCGAAUUGCCGACACCAUCAGUUGGAGAAUGUGGUAAUACCGGAAAGUAUCGAAGGAUCGCCUAUUUUGAAUAAGCGAAAACUUUCAAAG